UACGUAGGGGGCGAGCGUUGUCCGGAAUCACUGGGCGUAAAGGGCGUCUAGGCGGCUUAGUAAGCGGAAUGUGAAAGCCCAGGGCUCAACCCUGGAAAGCCGUUCCGAACUACUAGGCUUGAGUUCGGGAGAGGGCAGUGGAAUUCCCGGUGUAGCGGUGAAAUGUUUAGAUAUCGGGAGGAACACCAGUGGCGAAGGCGGCUGCCUGGACCGAUACUGACGCUGAAGCGCGAAAGCCAGGGUAGCGAACGGGAUUAGAUACCCCGGUAGUCCUGGCCGUAAACUAUGAACACUAGGUGUUGGGGGCAUCAACCCUUCCAGUGCCGAAGCUAACGCAUUAAGUGUUCCGCCUGGGGAGUACGGCCGCAAGGCUAAAACUCAAAGGAAUUGACGGGGCCCCGCACAAGCGGUGGAGCAUGUUGCUUAAUUCGACGCAACGCGAAGAACCUUACCAGGCCUUGACAUGUAGGGAAUCCUCCCGAAACGGAGGAGUGCCCUUCGGGGAACCCUAACACAGGUGGUGCAUGGCU
RNAcentral lists this ribosomal RNA (530 nucleotides) under uncultured bacterium. RNAcentral's name for it is "bacterial SSU rRNA". It matches the Rfam family "Bacterial small subunit ribosomal RNA", at positions 524 to 1050 of the family's 1533-position model. The record is from RNAcentral.